Molecule: ribosomal RNA, 522 nt
Filed under: uncultured Lactobacillus sp.
Lineage: Bacteria; Bacillati; Bacillota; Bacilli; Lactobacillales; Lactobacillaceae
Description: bacterial SSU rRNA
Rfam family: Bacterial small subunit ribosomal RNA
Source: RNAcentral
GUGCCUAAUACAUGCAAGUCGAGCGAGCGGAAUAACAGAUUUACUUCGGUAAUGACGUUAGGAAAGCGAGCGGCGGAUGGGUGAGUAACACGUGGGGAACCUGCCCCAUAGUCUGGGAUACCACUUGGGAAACAGGUGCUAAUACCGGAUAAGAAAGCAGAUCGCAUGAUCAGCUUUUAAAAGGCGGCGUAAGCUGUCGCUAUGGGAUGGCCCGCGGUGCAUUAGCUAGUUGGUAAGGUAAGGCUUACCAAGGCGAUGAUGCAUAGCCGAGUUGAGAGACUGAUCGGGCCACAUUGGGGACUGAGACAUGGGGCCCAAACUCCUACGGGGGGAGGGGCAGCAGUAGGGGGAAUCUUCCACAAUGGACGCAAGUCUGAUGGAGCAACGCCGCGUGAGUGAAGAAGGUUUUCGGAUCGUAAAGCUCUGUUGUUGGUGAAGAAGGAUAGAGGUAGUAACUGGCCUUUAUUUGACGGUAAUCAACCAGAAAGUCACGGCUAACUACGUGCCAGCAGCCGCGGUAAU